Molecule: long non-coding RNA, 1565 nt
Filed under: Manihot esculenta (cassava)
Lineage: Eukaryota; Viridiplantae; Streptophyta; Magnoliopsida; Malpighiales; Euphorbiaceae
Description: long non-coding RNA (MESC_LNC002989)
Source: RNAcentral
GACACAAACACAACCUCAAAUUUAGACCCACUUCGGUUCAGAUGCUCGUAUGCAUUAAUUAGUAUCUCUGUGAAGUUCCGACAUGGUGGGUACCAGUUGGCUGAGAAGUAGAGUCCGACCACCUUGCCUUCGAGUUCAGAAACUUGCACCUGCAACAUAAGAUAAUACCCAGAUAAAAAAAUAGCUCAUGCAUGUUUUCAAAUUCUGUGGUGAAUGAAAUGAUACCAAAUUUUAAUGAACCAAUGGGCAAAUUACAAGUUACAAUAAUAGAAUUCAUUAAUCCUAAAAAUUGUGAAAACAACAUGUUACCAGAUUUUCCCAAGUGUAGAAUAGUUGUGGAUAAGCCACGUGUUGUAUCUAUCUAUAGCGUAAGUGCUAAGGCUAAAGAGGAGAAUAAGGUGGCGACACAUGUCCACUGAGCUUGGCUGGUUCACGGACGACCACUGUGUAGGAAGUGGGAACCCAUGCUGAUUAAGACUGCAUACAUUUUUAGUCAUGUGUAGGUCAUGAAGAAGAACCAGCAUCACCACCUCUAUCCCCGGAAAACGACACCCACUUCCCCUAGCUACCACCAACAAGACCACAAAAGCAAGAAGCAGCGGUGGCUCGGAGAAGGAUAUUAUCUACCAUGGAAACUUCCUUAUGGCACUGUUGGAUUGCCGACAAGAUAAAGAUGAAUAAGAACAGAAUGAUUCAGAUGUUAGCACAUUUGAUUAACCAUCUAUAAAUCCACACCCUAUGGAUUCACUAUUCGGAGAUUUGCACGUAUCCAUCUCCUCAGUUACUAUUAUGAUUUAGAUUCUAAUGAAUAGAGUAUGAAAUGAAAUAAAACUCAUGAAGAAACAUGUAUUUUUUUCUAUCCUCACCCUGUUUUCAGCUUGCAUCUAAUUUAAUUAAUCGGAAGUUGCUUGAAAUUAAUCCGUUAAAAAUUAUCUAAGCUUUCAUGCAUUUGGAAGGAACGUUUAGAUGAAAAACUCAUAUAAUUAAACCAUUUUCAGUUACUCUAACCACGAGAAGUGAGAUUAUUUUCCUGAGAAAAUUAUGUGUUUAUUAUUAUUAUUCAUGAGUAGAAGAAUGAUCUUAGACCUUGAAUAUGGUAAAAAGAAAAACUCGAUCCAAGUCCUGAGAUCAGCAAAUUAAAACACUAACAUAUGGCAUAUAGACGUACGAUCAGAAAAACUAAGAUAUAUUAAUAAAUAAAAAAGAAAGUUGACAGAAUAUUAGCUUGGAAAGUACUGAGAGUCUGAGGCUAGUUAACAGCAUCCCACCAUCUAACAUGAAAUGAAAGAAGAAAUCUAUAGAUUAUUUGUCAAAAGAAAAUAUCAAGAAUCACAAUUUUCAACAAAGAAAACUACUUUCUCAGUGUGCACUUGAAGUGAAAAGGAAGGAAAGAAAACCUGAGUUCCAUCAGGAGAGAGAAGAAAAUCACGAUCUUUAGAAGCCAAAAGAGAAGAGAAUCUAGAGCUUGAAAUAUUUUUCUCACCGUCCCCGUUUGUUUUGGCUCCAGCCUGUUUCAGGUUCCUGUAAUCUUCCUCCAAGCUCAUCACCUCCUUUCUCAUCACCCC